This 460-nucleotide ribosomal RNA is filed under the name uncultured bacterium. RNAcentral describes it as "partial 16S ribosomal RNA". It matches the Rfam family "Bacterial small subunit ribosomal RNA", at positions 338 to 795 of the family's 1533-position model. The record is from RNAcentral.
CCUACGGGAGGCAGCAGUGAGGAAUAUUGGUCAAUGGGCGGAAGCCUGAACCAGCCAAGUCGCGUGAGGGAUUAAGGCCCUGCGGGUCGUAAACCUCUUUUGCCGGGGGGCAGUGGUCCGGACGCGUCCGGACCGGGAGAGUACCCGGAGAAAAAGCAUCGGCUAACUCCGUGCCAGCAGCCGCGGUAAUACGGGGGAUGCGAGCGUUAUCCGGAUUGAUUGGGUUUAAAGGGUGCGUAGGCGGGCAUUUAAGCCGGCGGUAAAAUGGCGGGGCUCAACCCCGGCCUGCCGUCGGAACUGGGUGCCUUGAGUGGGCGAGAAGUAGGCGGAAUGCGUGGUGUAGCGGUGAAAUGCAUAGAUAUCACGCAGAACCCCGAUUGCGAAGGCAGCAUACCGGCGCACUACUGACGCUGAGGCACGAAAGUGCGGGUAUCGAACAGGAUUAGAUACCCUGGUAGUC